RNAcentral lists this ribosomal RNA (497 nucleotides) under uncultured bacterium. RNAcentral's name for it is "partial 16S ribosomal RNA". It matches the Rfam family "Bacterial small subunit ribosomal RNA", at positions 28 to 507 of the family's 1533-position model. The record is from RNAcentral.
GAUGAACGCUGGCGGCGUGCCUAAUACAUGCAAGUCGAGCGAACAGAUAAGGAGCUUGCUCCUCUGACGUUAGCGGCGGACGGGUGAGUAACACGUGGGUAACCUACCUAUAAGACUGGGAUAACUUCGGGAAACCGGAGCUAAUACCGGAUAACAUUUGGAACCGCAUGGUUCUAAAGUGAAAGAUGGUUUUGCUAUCACUUAUAGAUGGACCCGCGCCGUAUUAGCUAGUUGGUAAGGUAACGGCUUACCAAGGCAACGAUACGUAGCCGACCUGAGAGGGUGAUCGGCCACACUGGAACUGAGACACGGUCCAGACUCCUACGGGAGGCAGCAGUAGGGAAUCUUCCGCAAUGGGCGAAAGCCUGACGGAGCAACGCCGCGUGAGUGAUGAAGGGUUUCGGAUCGUAAAACUCUGUUAUUAGGGAAGAACAAAUGUGUAAGUAACUAUGCACGUCUUGACGGUACCUAAUCAGAAAGCCACGGCUAACUACGUG